RNAcentral lists this ribosomal RNA (207 nucleotides) under Bacillus thuringiensis. RNAcentral describes it as "partial 16S ribosomal RNA". It matches the Rfam family "Bacterial small subunit ribosomal RNA", at positions 330 to 528 of the family's 1533-position model. Lineage: Bacteria; Bacillati; Bacillota; Bacilli; Caryophanales; Bacillaceae. The record is from RNAcentral.
CCCAGACUCCUACGGGAGGCAGCAGUAGGGAAUCUUCCGCAAUGGACGAAAGUCUGACGGAGCAACGCCGCGUGAGUGAUGAAGGCUUUCGGGUCGUAAAACUCUGUUGUUAGGGAAGAACAAGUGCUAGUUGAAUAAGCUGGCACCUUGACGGUACCUAACCAGAAAGCCACGGCUAACUACGUGCCAGCAGCCGCGGUAAUACCA